This 492-nucleotide ribosomal RNA is filed under the name uncultured bacterium. RNAcentral's name for it is "partial 16S ribosomal RNA". It matches the Rfam family "Bacterial small subunit ribosomal RNA", at positions 29 to 507 of the family's 1533-position model. The record is from RNAcentral.
AGUGAACGCUGGCGGUAGGCCUAACACAUGCGAGUCGAACGGCAGCACAGUAAGAGCUUGCUCUUACGGGUGGCGAGUGGCGGACGGGUGAGGAAUACAUCGGAACCUACUUUUUCGUGGGGGAUAACGUAGGGAAACUUACGCUAAUACCGCAUACGACCUACGGGUGAAAGCAGGGGAUCUUCGGACCUUGCGCGAUUGAAUGAGCCGAUGUCGGAUUAGCUAGUUGGCGGGGUAAAGGCCCACCAAGGCGACGAUCCGUAGCUGGUCUGAGAGGAUGAUCAGCCACACUGGAACUGGGACACGGUCCAGACUCCUACGGGAGGCAGCAGUGGGGAAUAUUGGACAAUGGGCGCAAGCCUGAUCCAGCCAUACCGCGUGGGUGAAGAAGGCCUUCGGGUUGUAAAGCCCUUUUGUUGGGAAAGAAAAGCAGCAGGUUAAUACCCCGCUGUUCUGACGGUACCCAAAGAAUAAGCACCGGCUAACUUCGUG